UGAAUUUUGGAGCAAGAGGCAACCCUAGCUGAUCUUUCUAGCCCGCUCAUUUGUGAAGGAGAAUACUGAGCACCAGGGAGCUCUGAAAGGGAACGCGUAUCGAAAUUAGGUGCUUUUUUGGAUUACAAUUUCUCAUACCUUAUGGAAGUGAUACCAUCAAGCAGACAGAUGCCAGUUGGAAAUGGAUAUUUGAUGGUGGGCCAGAGGGAAGUUCGGAGAACAGGCGAGAAGAAUAAAAGAGAGGUAGGUCAAGGUU
This is a long non-coding RNA of Suricata suricatta (meerkat), 256 nucleotides long. RefSeq lists it as uncharacterized. The record is from RefSeq and is a predicted model, not a curated record. The transcript is spliced from 3 exons. NCBI's taxonomy places the organism in Eukaryota, Metazoa, Chordata, Mammalia, Carnivora, Herpestidae.